CCGCACGUCCCUUGCGCGCCGCCGCGUCACGCAGCUCUCCGCGCAGGCGCGCGGCGCGCUCCCCGCCGAGGUUCCCCUCGACGCCUGGGCCUCCGCGCAGCCGCACUGGAGCGGCUUCUGCCGCCGCCGUCUUCGCGCAGAUUACAGGGCCAGUUGCCUUUGUUACAAUAAAAGCAAGUCAUCUACACAGACAAACUGUGGCCUGGACCAGCUGGUGAAACAUAAUUCUGAAUCCUGCCCACAGGCUUUGGUGGUUUUGGAUGAAAGGCCAGCGCCUUGGGAGCCCUGCGUUUGAUUUCAAGUUUUAAGGCCAGCACUGGUGGAGCAAUGAACGCUGAAAGCUUUCCCCUUAAAGGAGCACAAUUGCCUUUAGGUGACUGCUAACUCCAGCUUUUGCUGAAGACAGUGUUUACUUUGUGAGCUUAAUGACAGGGCUGCCUUUCUGGGAGUGUUGCAAUGAAACAGACUCAGACAGAGGCCAUCACGGACCUCCUCCCUAGCAAGGCUGCCACGGCUGGCAUCUCAAGAACAGUCCAUUGAACUUGGGAUUUGGGUGUGAGACGCAGUUUCAUCAGAAGAAUUUAAACCAAAGUCUACAUUUGCCCUCAGGAUAAAUGUGUGUGUUCAGCAGCAACCACAACUCCUUGCCUCAUUCUCUUAGUUGAUUAUGUGACUGUGAGAAGAAAAGCAAAAGCAAAAAUGAGAAGCAUAGCUAUGAUGCUAUUUUAGUUAAAAAUAUUCUUGUAGAAUUUGAAGGUACCAUAGAGAUUACCUACAGAUGGAAAAAACUGAAGCUCAGAGAUGGGAAGUGACUUGUCCAAGAUCACACAGCAUAUAAGAGAAGAAGUAGGACUGAAAUCCAGAUUUCUCUGUUACUGGUCCUGUUUUCUCUUUUCUUUUUUUGAGACAGGGUCUCACUCUGUCUCCCGGGUUGGAGUGCAGUGGUGCAAUCUCAGCUCACUACAACCUCCAACUCUUAGGCUCAAGAGACCCUCCCACCUCAGCCUCCUCAGUAGCUGAGACGCCUGGCUAAUGUUUAUUUUUGGUAGAGAUAGGGUUUCACCAUGUGGUCCAGUCUUUUCUUGAACUCCUGAGCUCAAACAAUCCACCCACCUUGGCCUCCCGAAGCGUUGGGAAUACAGGUGUAAGCCAUCGCACCUGGCCAGGUCCUGGUCGCUUUUCAUUGUUAUACAGCUGUCAACAAUCAUGGAGAGUUCUUUUUCCCUUUUGUUGGGUUCUUGUUCCUUUGCAAAGUCUAAAAAGAACCAAGAUGAUCCAGGAAAUUCAGGGAGUCCUCAUUCACUUCCAAAGGCAACUUGUUGUCUGUUGGCUGUGCUGUAUGAAUUGCUGUUUCAAUUAAGUUUUUCAACAUUUCAUAUGAAGGCAUGCAAAUGGCCACUGAUUCUAAAUAAACCCAUUUAGGUAUUCAGGGUUUAUAAAUAUAGAGAAUCUUGCUUUCUGCCUCAUUCUUGCUGUCUUCCCUGGCAUUCUUCCCUCUAUCCACCUCCAUUGAGAUGCAUUUUUAUAAAAGACUUUACUUAGGACACAUAUUUUGAUGAAAUCCUUAACAUUUUUCUUCUUUCCCAAUUUUUAUAUUGUCAUUGUUAUAAUGCAUUAUAAUACUUUAUAUUUUGCAAAUUUGUUUUAAUAUGUUAAUUUUGCAAUGUAACUAUCUCAAGGCUUCUAAUGAGGAGAGGAGGAGACUACAGAUAGGACUAGAUAGAGAGACUUUUAAAGAUGUGGGUAGGGUGUUUGUGAAUGUCUGGGCAGUGGAAUAUUUAUGCAGUGCUGUGGGUGUUUUGAACCCUCUGGAAACUAACAAGCAAGCUCCACACAUAAACUUGAUGGAAGUCCUCCAAACUUUGGACAACACAGAGGCCUUUCAGAAGUCUGAACCAAAUCCAAGUCAAAUUAUAGCCCAGGACACUGGUGCAAAUGAGAGGCUGAGCAGAUCAGAAGAAAUGAUACUGGUCCAGGACCCCAGAAACCCAGGGCCUGGUGCCCGGUCUGCCACUUAGCAGUAAUUUCCUUGUCAGUAAAAAGGGAUGGUAAUAGGUCUUACCUCGUGGAGUUGCACUGAUGAGAAAAAUAAAAUAAUGUACGUAAAGUCCUGAGCACAAUGCCUGCCAUAUACUAGCACUUAUUAUUUGUAUGAGAUGCCAAUAGGCUUUUGGAGAAAAACACAUGAGAACUGGCAGUCAGUCAACUAGAGAUGGCCCCCACUUGAGUAGUGAGGCAGUAGGAUCACAGCCAUAGGCUUUGGAGUUAGACUUGCUUUUAGAUCCCAGCUCUGGCAUUUUCUAGCUGUGUGAUCAUGGGCAAGUCACCUGACUUCUUUUGGCCUCAAUACACAUCUCACAGGGUUAGUGCAUGGAUUAGUGAUGUAGCCCAUGUGAAGCCUCAGUACCUGGCAUGUAAUAGGUGCUCACUAUUAAGUGGUCACUGGUUCAGGUCCUUAGAGAAAGGAGCUGUAAGAAGCCAGAGGAGUGAGGCAGUUGAGCCAGUUGUAAAACUAGCGGGGUUAAUAAAAAAAAAAAAAAA
Molecule: non-coding RNA, 2541 nt
Organism: Chlorocebus sabaeus (green monkey)
Lineage: Eukaryota; Metazoa; Chordata; Mammalia; Primates; Cercopithecidae
Source: RefSeq, a predicted model, not a curated record